UUCAACCUUGUUGUGGAUUUCUGCCAUCUUUUUGGCGAGAUCCAUUGCUCCUGCAGCUUGUCCUUGGAGAAUCUGCUGUAACAUGUUCUUCAAGUCUGAAUCUGGAGUUGUUGAAGCUGGUUGUUGUUGCUGCUGUGUGAACCCAGGUGGUGGAAGUUGCUGCUGAUAGUUGCCCUGAUACUGCUGCUUAGGAACAUACCCUUGACCUUGGUUGUAUGGAACAAAGGUCUUGGGUUGAUUCUGCUGCUGUGAAGGGUAGACUUGGUCCUGCGGGUUUGCAACGUUCGGGAUGGUUCUGCUUGAAGUUGUUGAAACCUUUGUUGUAACCUCCUUGGUUCUGCACAUAGCUGACCUCUUCUGACUGCAGAGUCUCCCCAUCCUGAACUUGGAACGUCUCAUCAUCACCCAGAAAAUGAAUGUGCUUCUGUUGCACAAGGAGUAGCUUGUCCAGUUUGUCAUUCAUGGCUUUCAUUUCCCUGCGGUGCUUCUCAUCAGAAUCAGAGCUGGUGCGGAUGCUUCUGUCAUAAUCUUCAUUAUAGUUGCCAUCCGACUGAGCCAAGUUCUCUACCAGCUCCCAUCCGUCUUCAACAUCUUUAUUGAGGAAGUUCCCGUUAGAAGCGGUAUCUAGAAGCAUCCUGAUCUUUGGAAGGACACGUCUGUAGAGAGUGCUGAGAAGUGAAGCUUUGGAGAAACCAUGAUGAGGACAUUGCGUCUGAUAACCCUUGAAGCACUCCCAUGCUUCACAGAAAGUCUCAUUAUUCGUCUGAGUGAAACCAGAGAUAUCAUUUCGUAGUCUCGCAGUCCUGGAGUUUGAGAAAAACUUAGCUAAGAAGGCUUUCUUGCAGUCAUUCCAUGAGGUGAUAGAGCCUUGAGGAAGUGACUUUUCCCACUGAUGUGCUUUGUCUCCAAGAGAGAAUGGAAACAAUCUGAGCUUGAAGCCAUCCUCACUGACUCCAUUGAUCUUUGUUAGGCUGCAGAGCCUAUCAAACUCGUCCAGGUGAUCGAGUGGAUCCUCCAUAGGGAGGCCGUGGAACUUGUUGCUCUGAACCAUGGCAAUGAGACCGCUCUUGAUCUCAAAGUUGUUGUUCUGCACAGGUGGAGGCACGAUGCCAUUACGCUGAUUGUGGUUGCGUGGUGCAUCGCCUGCACCUAUGUUGUUUGGUUGCACCUGCUCAUCAACAACUGCAGCCAUUGUGUCUGUUUCUGUCUGUGUUCUGAGUCGGCGUGCAAUACGGUCGAUGUUAUCGUUGAACAGGAGAUUCUGAUUUCCUCGUGACCGUGUUUGCAUACAACGAGUACCAAUUGUUGAAGCUAGUGAUUCGUAGUACCUGAAUCAAAACAGACAAACAGAACAAACACAAAGUUAGUAACUUUCAGAAAAAUUGAAAAAGAACUUGAUCUUAAGUAUUCUAAAAUCUCAAAUAUAGCAAACAAACACCCAAUUGGCAACGGCGCCAAAUUGAUAAUAUGUUUUUAUGCAAUUAUCCUAAAACACCAAUCAUGUCAUUGUAGUAUUUUAGGUGUCAAUCCAAAUGGGUGUGAUGCAAACAGAUGAGAUGUGAUCAGAAGUCACUAAGUCAAGCCAAGCAAUAACAGUUUUGGGGUUUCUAACAGUCCUAAGCGAACAUGCAGAAAACAGAAGCAAUAACAGAAUUACUAAAAUCACUCGACAACAACAGGCUGAUGCCAGAAGUAGGAUGUGGUCGAGUAACAGGUCGAGUAACAGACAAGAUAUGAAACAGCUAUACUCGACUGCACAGUCUGUUGCCAGACACUGGAUGUGGUCGAGUAUACUGGUCGAGUAAUAGAUAGGAAACAAGACAAUCUUACUCGACUACACAGUCUGUUGCCAGACACUGGGUGUGGUCGAGUAAGUUGGUCGAGUGAUUGUAAAAACUAAGAAACAGGCAAUGAGAACGAUUAAGCGAUAACGAUAAAACAGAGAAAUAAGAUAGACGAGAAAUUCCUAAGGAUGGGGUAAUCGAGUAGAGUGGUAUCCUAGCCUAUUCGAAUGGUUAACAAGCGCAAUCAAGCUAUCCCUAGACAACAGGUUCAACAACAGAUCAAUUCACUCCCGUGAUAGAAAUCUUCAAGCAAAGCUAGCCCAGACUAAUUCCCAUUAACGGAAUCUAACUAUGCAGGCAAUAAGAACAGACUGAUAAAGUCAAUAAACGCUCUAAACGGCUAAUCCCUUGGGAUAGAGACGCAUAUCUCAGGAACUAGUGGAUCAAGCAUUUCAUCGAACACCUUCUGGGUGCGGGAAUGCUUGGGAUCGAAUUCCAGUUGAUCAGAAAGAAAUAAGCAGUAAACGCAACUAGUCCUAAAGGGAUUCAAUCAAUUCUAAAGCUUAACCAUUCUACAGACUACGGAUUCCACAACUACUCUAUCCCAUCCCUAAGAAUUCUAAGUCACUACUGAGACAACAUGUUGACAGAUAUAAACACAGAUAAACGAUAAUAUUGCAUAAGUAAAGAGAUAAAGAGUAGAGAAACAAGAUGACUAAUGAAAUCAAACGCGGAAUCUCAAUAACUUGGAAAAAUCGCGAACUACAGGUUGCAGAAGCAAAAGCGGCGUAGCAGAGUAAAACUGAAAAUAAAACUGAAGCAAAAACGCAAUGUCGACUAGAUGUUUCAGGACAGAACCCUAAAACAUCUAUUUAUACCAAACGAAAUAAAAUGAUAGUAGACGGGCCAAUAACCUAAUCGCCCGGCCCAUAGAGUGAUAAUGGGCCGAGAUGGGCUUCGUGAUCCGAUGGAGGUCCAGGCCGCUUCCAAACACUUUGUCUUCUCUUCUUUUCUUCCUUGUGCUCAGCUUGUCUGGUUGAGUGCGGAUUUGAGUGGACUGUGAAGACGUGAUCGAGUGUCCGGUCGAGUGAUGGUGAUGG
RNAcentral lists this small RNA (2884 nucleotides) under Arabidopsis thaliana (thale cress). Its description in RNAcentral is "ATSL272290". The stretch from base 690 to 796 matches the Rfam family "Plant small nucleolar RNA R71". Lineage: Eukaryota; Viridiplantae; Streptophyta; Magnoliopsida; Brassicales; Brassicaceae. The record is from RNAcentral.